RNAcentral lists this non-coding RNA (117 nucleotides) under Pan paniscus (pygmy chimpanzee). RNAcentral also lists the same sequence under 1 other name. The record is from Rfam by way of RNAcentral. Lineage: Eukaryota; Metazoa; Chordata; Mammalia; Primates; Hominidae.
GCCGGGCGCGGUGGCUCACGCCUGUAAUCCCAGCACUUUGGGAGGCUGAGGCGGGCGGAUCACCUGAGGUCAGGAGUUUGAGACCAGCCUGGCCAACAUGGUGAAACCCCGUCUCCA